RNAcentral lists this ribosomal RNA (703 nucleotides) under uncultured bacterium. RNAcentral's name for it is "bacterial SSU rRNA". The stretch from base 1 to 445 matches the Rfam family "Bacterial small subunit ribosomal RNA", at positions 102 to 542 of the family's 1533-position model. The record is from RNAcentral.
ACGGGUGAGUAAUAUAUUGGAACGUACCGAGUAAUGGGGGAUAACCAAUCGAAAGAUUGGCUAAUACCGCAUACGCUCUGAGGAGGAAAGCAGGGGACCUUCGGGCCUUGCGUUAUUCGAGCGGCCAAUAUCUGAUUAGCUAGUUGGUGGGGUAAAGGCCUACCAAGGCGACGAUCAGUAGCGGGUCUGAGAGGAUGAUCCGCCACACUGGGACUGAGACACGGCCCAGACUCCUACGGGAGGCAGCAGUGGGGAAUUUUGGACAAUGGGCGCAAGCCUGAUCCAGCCAUGCCGCGUGUCUGAAGAAGGCCUUCGGGUUGUAAAGGACUUUUGUUAGGAAAGAAAAAGGAUCGGUUAAUACGCGUUUCUGCUGAACGUACCUAAAGAAUAAGGCGCCGGCUAACUACCGUGACAGCAGCCUCGAUAAACGGACGGUGCUAGCGCUUAAUCUAAAGUACUGAGCGUAAAGCCAGAGCAGUCCUUUAUUUAGAUGGAAGAGUCCACGCCCUCAACCUGAAAAUGGCAAUCUGAUUUCAGACACGGUAGCGUGACUGAUUCAGGGAGAAUUCACAAUUCCACGUGUAAAUGCGAAAAGAGUUGAGAUAUGGCAGGAUGACCAAAGCUCCCUCCUGCCACCAUGCUGACGUUACUUGACCCUAAUGUGCGGAUAACCACGCGGAGAUUAACAAGCACUGGAUGUCCU